CCCUCCUUCCUUAAAGGGCUAGGCUUCGCGACCGAGUCGGGAGAGUGAAGGUGAAGAUCGGAGCGCGUGGUUGCGUGGUGACGUUACGAAGCCGGGGCUUGAAGCGAGAGUCGGCCCCGCCCCCGCCCCCGCGCCGCGGUCUGUGCUGAGGGUAUUUGGAACCUCUCGACCUCUUUGCGGCGCGGGUUCCCACUGCGUCGUCUCAUCCCCCCCCCCCCCGCUCCAGCUGGACGGGAAGGGACGCCUUACGUCGUUUCCUGAACCCUGCCAUCCCAACGGAAACUGGUCGGCCCUAGGCCAGGCCGCGUCGCGCGCCGCCGGGCUGGGUGGGGUCCGCCCCCGCUCUAGGGGGGGCUAGCUUGGUUACCUCUCCCCGCCCAGCUUUUUUUCCCUGCCCCGCGCCUUGCGGGCCUGCUUUGGGCGCCGACGAUAUCCCGAGCUCUAGCUAGUAAUAGCGCACACCUUCCGGCCUCGGGACUGUUGUGGCCGAAGGUUCAAGGGACAGUCGCCCCCAAUCACGUUGAACUGUUUUUUUUUUUUUUUUAACGGUAAUAGCUAGUAUUUGUAAAGUGCUUCAAGGCCUUCUCAUUUGAUCCUCCUACGACGGGAAAUGCUAAUUUCCCCUUGAGGCGGGGGUUGGGGGUGUUGUCCCCGCUACGCUUCUGACGGCGGUGGGCGUUUUUGGAGCGGAGUCCUCCUGAGAGCCCCAGUACUGCCCUGACCUGCCAGGACCUUCGCUCGGUGGGACGGCCGCGUCCUAGAGUGAAAUCGGCCGUCCCCGGAGCGGGGAAGUGUGGGGCUUUAACGGCGCGGAAAAGGACCGCCAUGCAGUUUUGCCUUAUCUGAGAAGAGCGCUAAGUGUGGUUAAUGAGCGGCAGAUACUUGUUGCCAACUUGAAAAGUGAAAGAUAACGCCCUUAAAAAAAAAAAAAAAAAAAAAAAGGCGAGCACCUAUAUGUUUAUGAGGUACGAAGAAUUAGACACGGGCCUGCAAAGAGCGCUUUGCAAAUGGUGAAAUGCGAUUUCUGUGAAAUCCGUGGGCCAGGAGACCCUAAGUUCGGCCAGCCGUAGUCUGGCAUGAUAUGAGGGAGGUGCAAGGCCCCAGAUCAGAGAAGAUGGGAGCUGAUCUGAAGUGAAACGUUAGAAACUGAGGAGGAGGGGGGACGUUCCAGGUUAAGAAACCACAGAUGUUUUGCUUGGGGGAAUGAUUCAUGCCUUGAAGAAAUUAUUUCAACAGUUUCAAAGAGUAUGGAUUGGAGAAAGUUCAAACUUGAGGCCAGGAGACCAAUUCGGAAGCUGUGGCAAUAGGGGUCCAGAGGUCAGAGUCACUCCAAGGGUAGUGGCUGUGAAUAGAAAGAUGUGGAUGAAUACAAAAGACAGCAGAAUCAGCAAAACUUGGGCCUGGAUUGGAUGGAGAAGGGAGGAAGAAGUAAAAGGUUAAUGGAAAGAUGGCUAUCCCUCAGUGGACAUGGGUAGCAUGUUGAGUUUGGGACGCCUUUGAGACAUCAAAGUGCAGGUGUCCAGCAUGUUGUCUGAGAUUCAGUGAAGAUUGCAGAUCCAGAAAUCUUUCCAGCUUGGUAGAGCCUACCAGCACUUCUGUUGAACCUGUAUAGACACCUCACCACAGUGAGUUGAGCAUCUUCAUGGGCUAUUAGUGAAGACCAUUGAGGAUGUCAUUCAGAAAAUAGAUGAAUGGAAAAGGGAGGACAUCAUGGAUGUAAUUAAAGCAAGGGAUAAUAGAUAAAAAGUCAAAAUGCUUGAUGGGAUAUUAGAAGAUCUUAAGGAAAGCCACCAGCAUGUUGGGCAAACUCUCUAUGAAGGAGUUAUGGGAAUACUUUGACAAAAAUAGCAAAAGAAGUAAAGGCAUGUAGGAGUUGCAAAAUGCAUCUUUGGAAGGACCCACCACAUCAUUAAAAGAUGUGGAUCUCUUCAGGCAUUGAAAUAAAGUGGAAAACCCUUCUGACCAUUAGACCUAUCUAAAAAUGAAACAUACUGAAGAGCCUAGACUAAAUAAUUAUUACUAAGGAUCCUUCUAGCUGGUCCUGGAAAUUCUAUGAUUCUCUGCCUCCUGGGGGAAUGAAUGAGUUUGCCACCACGGAGUAAUCUGUCACAAUAAAUCAGAAUCUGGAUUGGGUGAAAAAUUUUAGAGAGGAUUCAUUUAUUAGGUGGGGAGUAGGGAGCAGAUGAGAGACACAUUUCUGAAAGUGACAAUUAAACACCUCAGACACUUAACACUGACUAGCUGUGUGACCCUGGGCAAGUCACUUAACACCAAGUGCCUUGUAAAAAAGGGUGAAAAAUUGUUUGGGGAACCAAAAGUUAAGUGACUUAGUGUGACCAGAGAGCCAGGAAGGGUUGGAAGCAAGAUUGAACCCAGGUGUUCAGUCUCCAAAUGACCACCUCUACUAGUUUUGUCUAAAUUCCAGCAUCAUACAACUAGUUAAUGACAGAGCUAAAAUUAGAAAAUAGAUCUCUAGUACCUUCUUAUUUUCAUUUAAAUACAUUUAGCAUAUAAUACAGAUGGUAUCUAUGGGCAGAAGGAGGCAGCCAGGUGGCAUAAUAGAGUGCUGGGCCUGGAGUCAAGAAGACCUGACCUCAGAUACUCCUGAGCUGUAUGAUUCUGGGCAAGUCACUUAACCCUGUUUGCCUCAGUUUUAUCAUAUGCAAAAUGAGCUGGAGAAGGAAAUGACAAACCACUCUUGUAUCUGUCAAAAAAAAACUCAAAUAGGGUCAUGAACAACAAAACAAUGAGCAGAAUGUGCUUGCCAGCCGUUCAGAUGUGCAUCCUCUUUCAAGGGGAAGCAGUUUAAUAUCACAAAGAGAGCUCUGGAAUUGCAAUCAGGUAGAUCUGGGUUUGAACAGCCAAGGACAUUUAACUGUUGGCCCCCGGGCAGGUGGCUUAAUCUCUUUUAGAUUGUUUCCUCCUCUGUAAAACAGGGAUAAUUAUAGGACCUACCUCCCAGGAUUAUUGUGAGGAUCAAAAUAAGCAAUAUAUAUAAAGCACUUUGUAGGCUUUAAAGUACUAUAUAAUUGUUAACUAUUUUGACAGGUGUGCUCCAAAAUUUUGUUCAUAAUUUACUAUAUAAGUCUUUUUUUUUUCCAAAAGAAAACUAUUCACUAAUUAACCUUAUUUACUAAUCUAGCUAUUCAUAUAUCAGAGUUUUUUAGUUUAUGAAACAAUCUGUAUAGAUGUCAAGAAAAAUUCCAUUAUGUAACUCAAUAGGAGUUUGUCUAAAAUUUCAUUAAGUUUCUUAAAAAGUCUAUAGCUUAUUCUUAAAAAGCUACAUUUAUUACACAAAUAUUUGUCAUUUUAAACUCAUUUAAAUGAAUUGAAAAGAUUUAAAAAUAACAUUAAUGUUGUUAAUUCACCUUGCUCAUAAACGACUCUGAAAAGAAGAAAAAAACCGUUAAAGAUAUUAAAUGAUAAUGUUCACUCAUGGGUUGCAGUGACCAAAAUAAAUUUAUCAUCACAGGCGUACCUCUUUGUAAUUAACUAGUUUAGUCUUCAUAAAACAGGCUUGCCUGUUUCCAGUUAAAAUCAUUCCAGCAUGAUUAAAUCUGCCAAGCAUUGUACUCCACUGGUAUAACCCUUCAGAACCCAAGGUUAUAUAAACUUGUCUGUAAAUUCUUAAGAAAAUUGAUGGAUGAUUAUGAGCCCAACUCUUUUAUAAUACAGAGAGAAGCGAUGGAAGGUAAAGUCAGGUUUUUAAAAACCAUGGCAAGAUAGCUUAUUGAGUAAAGUCAUAUAAGGACAUUCAGGGAUGAAAAUGGAAAAUAUUUUCAAAAACCUCUUUAUUAAAUUGUUUUCUCCAUUGAAGAUAGUGGAAUAUCACAAUGGAGAAAGAGAAGACAAAAAAUUUUAAAAACUUACUAUGUGCCUGACACUGUCCUAAAUACAUUACAAAAUAUUUCAUUUAAUCUUCAAAACUAUCCUAUAGAUGGGUUUAUUAAAUGACUUAUGCAGAGUCUCACAGCUAGUCAGUGUCUAAGACCAAACAAACUAACGCCUUCUUGACUCUAGGCCUAGAUCUCUAUCUUCUAUGACAGCAGAUAGUUCAAAUUCCCUGUAGGUGCUUAUAGAACAGCUAAAAGGCUACUUUAUUCUCUUAGAAUAAAGAAACCAGAUUAGAACAACAUCUAGAAAAGAUCCAUAGUGGAGGAGAGCCACUUCUGAAGGGAUAUAAUGAGGUUUCUGAAGAAGGGGAAGAUAUCAAAAGGCAUAGAAUAUUAAAAUCAAAUUUUUGCAGUCAUAGUAAACAAUGUGCUCCUGAAAAUGUUGUUAAUAAUUUACUACAUAAAUAUUGAGGUUUUUGCAAGAAAACUUCACUAAUUAACCUUAUUUAUUAAUUUGGAUAUACUGGUAAUGAUUAAAAGUUAUAAAGAAUGUGAGAUGCUACUGUGCUGUGUUGAUUAUGAAAAAAAUUGAUUGGGUAGAACAAAUCAUUCUUGCAUAUUGGCAAUUCAUAUAUUAAAAUACACAGAUUCCUUGAAAGAGAUAAUAGAAAUAACCCUAUUCAGGGACUCUGUGGUCAUAAACAUUAGGCAAAGCAUAAAACUGGGAGCUAUAAGUUCACCAAGUUAUCUACCAAAGCAAUAGAAGAGAUCCAACCCAGAUUCAGGUUAAAGAGGGAUUUCCUAUGGAUAGUAAGGUCCUCCAGGUCCUCUUGUUUGUGGAUGACAUUAUGCUGAUUGCAUCAGGCUCCAGGAUCUUGCAGAGCCUCCUGGAAGAAAAUUCCAAGAAGUUGGCUUAUCUACUCACCCAGGAAAUAUCAAAUGGAUGAAGAAUGUCUUUUGCCCAGACUUCAAUAUGCAUUUGGAUGGAUACCCUGUGGACCAUAUCCAACAAUAUAUUUAUCUGGGACAAAUGCUAGGGAUAGGGAGUAAGCUUAGUCAUAAGGUAAAAAGGGAGAAGAGUGAACUGGAUUGAGAAAUUGCAAGGCUAUUUUUCUGACCCCCAACUUUCCUUUGAACGCAAAGACCAAUCGUUUCAAUACUAACAUUUGGCCAGUGUUGUUGUAUAGUAGUGAUUCUUGGAACACUAUUAUCUCUACCAAGUGAAAAAUGAGCACCGUUUUUCCAAGGCUUUGGAGAGGCAGAUAGUGGGUGUGAGCAUACUAUCCAUUUAAUAAUAAGAAACUCCAUCCAAAGAGGAACAGAAAUAAAAUCAAGGAAUUGUCUGUCCAAAAGAGAUGGGUUAGUCAUGCAAAGAAGUGGACAACUAGAGGGUCACACUGGUACCAUCGUGAUUUUGAGAGAAAAUGAGGGAAGCCUCUGUAUAGCAAGUUUUUUGGAGAACAUUGGAUCUCAUCAAGAGACAUGGAUGGGGUGAAUUCUGUAUCAUCAAACUUCCAAAAUGAUGAGACCACAGAUACAUUUGAGUAAUAUUAAUUCAUUCAACAAGCAUUUAUUAAGUGUUCAGUUUAUGCCAGGCACUUCUUAUGCAACUUCUUGUGGAAAUUCACAUAUACAGUAGGGAGAAAUUACUUGUAGUUGGGAGGAUAAAGGAAAGUUUUCAUAGAUUCAUAGAAUUUCAGACCUGGAAAAAAAUUUCAAAUUCUUUUAAUUCAUAGGUGUCUUUUCAGAACUUCCAGUGCCUUUGUAUAUAAUAGGUGCUCAAUAUAUGUUUAUUGUUAAAUGGAUGGAGGUGUUGGUGUUUGACAAAAUCUUCUACAUUAAACCUGUCCUCAUUCUACCUUAGUUCUAGUUUUUUCUAUUGAUUAUUUCCAAUUUGUCAUAUAUAAAAAUACAUUUAUGAUAAAUUGGAAAAGAUCUAUGUAUGUAUAUGUCAUAUAUACAUAGACAGCAUAUUUUUACAUAGUUGUUUUCAUUUUGUCUCCCCAAUUAGACUCUGAGCUCUAUGAGAACAAGGUUUGUCUUUUGCUUUCUUUGCAAGCCUUGCACUUAGUUCAUUGCAUGAAACAUAGUAGGCGUUUAAUGCAUUUUUAUUGACUGACUGAUAUGGGCCUUGAAUUCAGUCCAGUUCAUUUAUUAAACAGGUACUAUAUGCCAGGGAAAAGACUAUCUACUUUCAGGGAAACAGAUGAUAGGAAAAAAUAAGUUUAAUAUGUUCUUGUAUGUGUAUAUAUAUUUAUAGAUAUCUGCUUAUGUACCUACAUAUAUGUAUUGUACAUGUAUGUUUAUAGAUAUCUGAUUAUGUGUAUAUGCGUAUGUAUACAUAUAAACAUACAUACAUGCUUAAUUAUAGCCGCCUUUUGGGUCAAUGAGAGAGGGAGGGGAAAAAGAAAAUGAAGCAAAAAGCGCAUAGCAGACCAAAAAAAAAAAAAUCCAACAAGAAAGAAAAGCAGGGCAGCUUUGAAAACAAUAUGUAUUAUAAUUUUUCUUGAAAUGGAAAUGUAUUGUUUUAUAUUGAAUCCUCUCUUAUGGUCUGCUACAUACAUGGCAACUUUUUUUCUUUUCUCAAUUUUGUAUUUAAGUGUAAAAUGUAAAAGUAACCCCCUCAAAAAAUGCUAGAUACUAUGGAUAGGUAAAAUUUCAAAAUGGCAGAAACAAAGUGAGGAAGAAGUUGGGGCUGGAAGAGUGAGAAAAGAACAUUCUAAGGCUAUGCAGAGGCAAUUGAAACUUGACAAUAAAGCCUGGUGUUAUAAAAGGGUGCAAUGUUUUCAGAAUCAGGUAUUCUCCAGGCUAGCUGGGGAGGAAGGCAUUUAACAAUGGAAGACUGGAAAGGGAAGAGAGUGGGGUUUCACAUGCUCCCAGGUCCUUGAACUUUUUUUUUUUUCUUUUUUUUAACAAAGGCUGUAUCUGUUUAAGUAGUUUAAAACAAGAAUGAUGAAAUUCUUAACUCAAUGGCACUAGAGAAAAUAAGAGAUGAGCUGUUUUUCCUCACGAAAUUUGUGGUCUUUGGUUUCUUAGCACAUGCCCAAGCAUGAGGUAACAAUAGUACCAAGAAUAAAAUUAAGCAUGUGCUAUCCUUAAUUUAUAUGUUCAUUCAUUCAUUCAGCAAACAUGUAUGAAGGCCUAAGGCCCAGCAAAACAUUAUAUCAUGGUUCUGUGUAUAUGUGUAUGGCCACUAUGUAAAAUAAAAAAUCUGUGUUCAUGUCCAUAGAAAAAGUCAUUUUAUCUAUAUAUGUGUGUGUGUUUAUAUGUGUGUGUGUGUGUACAUACAAUACAUCCACUCACAUACACUUUCUAAGACAGAGAGACAGAGUUGACACAUGCUUUUAGAAGAUCAAGGUUAGGAGUUUGAAUCUAGCAGCAUUGGAGCCUCCCACCUUAGGCUCCUGUCAAAACAGUCCAUGUGUUGGCAAAAAGUUGCCACCGUGCAUUCUAAAAAAGCUUUAGCAUGAAGAAGCUACGCCCAGUUUUUAGAAUGGUGCAGUGGAGAGAGUGGACUGGACUCUGAGGUCCUUAUCUGUCCCGUGCUUGGAAUUCUCCUCCUCUCUCCCUGGCUUCCUUCCAGUCCCAGCUAACAUCCCAUCUCUGUAAGAAGCCUUCUGGAUCCCCCCAUGCUAGACCUUCCCUCUGCAGAUUCUCUCCUGUUUGUGCUAUAUACAUCACUUCUGCACGUAAUACUUUACAUGUCGGCUCCUCCAUUCCCCGAAACCUCCUUCAGAGCAGUUUCCACAGUAUCUGGCAGACUGUAAGUGCUUAAUAAAUGCUGGGUUACUGACUGAAUGGCUAAUGCUUGCUGUUUCUGUAACUUCAAGCAAGCCUCAACUUCCCUGUGUUUUGAUUUCCUCAACCAUAAAAGGAGCAGUUUUAAUUUUUGUGGCUCCUAGAUCUAUGAUUCCUGUCAGUUCUUCAGCCCUAGCUUCAAUAGAAAGCAGCAUAAAUUUUGCUUAAUAGUAUACAUGUGGAAAAUAACAUGUAAUUUUUUUUUAAAAAGCUCAGGCUUUCAGUUCCCAUGUGUUCCUUUCUCACGAAAUUCCUACAUUUAAAAAAUUAUAUCUUCAAUAUACACAAAACAAGUUAUGAUUGAAGUGUGAAAUUUAUCUUGGAAGCUAUAUGCCAUUUGAUUUCCCAACAGAUGUAGAAGGUGUUCAUACAGGAAUUUGAAAAAACUUUUCCACCUAUAGCAGUAGAUUAAAUUUUAUACCUCAUCCCACGCCAUAAACUGAAUAGUCUCUUGAUACUGGAUAUAUUUUGUUGACUAAAAAAGAAAGUACACUUUUAUAACUAAGCCUAUACUCAGCCUCUAAGUAACAAGUUAUUUAAGAAUUGGUUUGUUUUUUUAAACAGGCAGGCAUGGAUGAGUUCCAGUCUGCAGUACUGGAGGAAAUGCAGACUACUGGAAUAUAUUUUUUAAGUCCACCUA
This is a long non-coding RNA of Sarcophilus harrisii (Tasmanian devil), 8271 nucleotides long. NCBI's taxonomy places the organism in Eukaryota, Metazoa, Chordata, Mammalia, Dasyuromorphia, Dasyuridae. The record is from Ensembl.